RNAcentral lists this transfer RNA (64 nucleotides) under Appendiseta robiniae. Its description in RNAcentral is "tRNA-His". The record is from RNAcentral. Lineage: Eukaryota; Metazoa; Arthropoda; Insecta; Hemiptera; Aphididae.
UAUUUAAAUAGUUUAAUUAAAAUAUUAAUUUGUGGGAUUAAAGAUUAUAUAUAUAUUUAAAUAA